RNAcentral lists this ribosomal RNA (429 nucleotides) under Verrucomicrobiota bacterium. Its description in RNAcentral is "Verrucomicrobia bacterium partial 16S ribosomal RNA". It matches the Rfam family "Bacterial small subunit ribosomal RNA", at positions 355 to 776 of the family's 1533-position model. The record is from RNAcentral. Lineage: Bacteria; Pseudomonadati; Verrucomicrobiota.
UAGGGAAUCUUCCGCAAUGGACGAAAGUCUGACGGAGCAACGCCGCGUGAGUGAAGAAGGAUUUCGGUUCGUAAAACUCUGUUGUUAGGGAAGAAAAAAUGUAUAGUAACUAUAUACAAAAGAGACGGUACCUAACCAGAAAGCCACGGCUAACUACGUGCCAGCAGCCGCGGUAAUACGUAGGUGGCAAGCGUUGUCCGGAAUUAUUGGGCGUAAAGCGCGCGCAGGUGGUUUAGAAAGUCUGAUGUGAAAGCCCACGGCUCAACCGUGGAGGGUCAUUGGAAACUAAUAAACUUGAGUGCAGGAGAGAAAAGUGGAAUUCCUGGUGUAGCGGUGAAAUGCGUAGAGAUUAGGAGGAACACCGGUGGCGAAAGCGGCUUUUUGGCCUGCAACUGACACUGAGGCGCGAAAGCGUGGGGAGCAAACAGG